AAAAAAGACAAAAAACAAAAACAAAAAAAAUCAUUAUUAGGGUUUGCUUCUUCUUCGUCGUAAACUGAUGACCAGGGUUCCAAGGACUCUGCUUUGAAUGUGAAUGGUUUUUUCAACUAUAUCACCACCAUAACCAGCAGUAGCACCAUUAACUCCACCGUCCAACACCAAUUUUUCGUUUUCUCUUUUAUCCCGUUCUCAAUUAUAAACCCUAAAAACAUUGUGAUGAUAAGUUAAUUUGAAUGUAGACGUUCUCUAAUUUAAUAAUCUUUGUUGCUCAAGAAAAGGAUCGAGGAUCGGAAAGCUUAGG
Long non-coding RNA from Papaver somniferum (opium poppy), 310 nucleotides. RefSeq lists it as uncharacterized. The record is from RefSeq and is a predicted model, not a curated record. Lineage: Eukaryota; Viridiplantae; Streptophyta; Magnoliopsida; Ranunculales; Papaveraceae. The transcript is spliced from 4 exons.